RNAcentral lists this ribosomal RNA (253 nucleotides) under uncultured bacterium. RNAcentral describes it as "partial 16S ribosomal RNA". It matches the Rfam family "Bacterial small subunit ribosomal RNA", at positions 524 to 776 of the family's 1533-position model. The record is from RNAcentral.
UACGUAGGGCGCAAGCGUUGUCCGGAAUUACUGGGCGUAAAGGGUUCGUAGGUGGCCAAUUAAGUCAGACGUGAAAUCCCUCAGCUCAACUGGGGAACUGCGUCUGAGACUGGAUGGCUUGAGUGCAGGAGAGGAACGCGGAAUUCCAGGUGUAGCGGUGAAAUGCGUAGAUAUCUGGAGGAACACCGGUGGCGAAGGCGGCGUUCUGGACUGCAACUGACACUGAGGAACGAAAGCCAGGGGAGCAAACGGG